CUGGUGCUCCUUUGACUAAAUUUUUUGCUUCACCGCGCGGAUUGCCUGCGAAUGUUCCACCAUGAAGUGUCAACCUGAUACUUAGGUUCAUCGAACAAUGAGAUUUAGUAUCAUUUGUAUUGAAAUUGAACGAUCCAUCCCACUACAUCAAUUCAUUACCAAUGCAUCACAUACCUACGUAUACUGACCCAAUAAGCAUGUUGGACCACCUCCUUGCCUAAAAUAUUACUACCUCCGUUCCUAAACGAUUGUCGUUUAAGGUUUUGGCACAUAGAUUAAGAAAGUAUCAUUUACUAAGUAAAAUUUGUUUGAAAUUCCAUCACUACCCUUUUAUGGGAAGUUGAAAAAUAUUAAUACAAGGGAGAUAAUUUCUUGGAACAAUGAGAGAAGGUAGGGGUAAUAUAGGAAAGUAAAUAAUUUAUUCUCCUCGAAAGUUGUAAACGACAAACUUUUUGGAACAAAUUUUUUCUUCUAAAACGACAAUCUUUUAAGAACGGAGGGAGUAACAUAUUAGGUUGAUAUAACUCUACCAUAUUUAUUAACUAAUCUACAAUUUUGAAUUUUUGCUAUGUAAGAUAUCUGAAUAAUAUAUUGUUAUAGGAAAUCACAAGUGAGUUAAAGUCUCACAUCGGAUAAAUAAUGAAAAAGUGAAAGAUUAAUAUAUAUGAAUGAGGCAAAGACCUAAUGACUUAACCUUUUGGGUCAAGUUGGGUUCCAAAUAUAUAUGUAUGUUAGUGUUUUGUGCAUGCGGGCUAGUGUCGUUUACAACUUACUAAGAGAAUAAAUUAUUUACUUUCAUAUAUUACCCCUAACUUCUCUAAUUGUCCAAAGAAAUUCUUUUUUGUAUUAGUAGUUUUCAACUUCCCAUAAAGGAGUAAUGAUGUAAUUUAAUAUAAAUUUUAAUUAUUAAAUGAUAAUAUAAAAUAAUUUUCUUAAUUAAUGUGCAUGAAGCUAAACCAGCUAUUAUUAUAAAAUGAAGAUAGUACUCCCUCCAUUCCAUUAUAACUUGCGUUUUACACAAUUUGAUUUAUUCCAAAAUAUUUGACUUAAUGAAAUCAAAGCGUAAUUAAUAUUUUUUCUUCCAAAUUUACCCUUAUCCUUGUUUUCUAGUAAGUGUUAAAUUAAUGCACAUAAUAAUUAGUUUUUUUUUAACUUUUCAAUGCAUUAUAGAUUAAUUAGGUGUAGGCUACCUGCCUUCCAUAUUUCUUUCCUUCCCGAUACAUAUUAAUUAAGGGUAUUUUAGUCAUGUAUAAUAAUUUUUUACUCAUAUUAAUAAUUUUUUUAAUUCAUGUGCAAAAAUUUUAAACGACACUUAUUUAAGAAUGAAGGGAGUAAUAUUUUGUGUAAGCACAUGUGACACACGAACUUAGGGGUUCUGCCCAAACACAAAUUAAAGUUCUAGCUAGCUAGGUAGUUGAUGAUGUAACAAUUUUCAAUAUCUUCGUUAAGACAAUUUCGUAUAAACAUGCGCGAUUGUUCUUGGACUAAGAUCCUCUAUAUUUUAAAUAAAUGGAGAUUCUAUUUCAUAAUUCAGAUUUAAAAUUAUCUCUCUCCUAUUAGCAUAAUGUCACAUUUUAACAUAUUUUAAAUCUUAACCAUUGUAUAGGCACUUACCAAAAAGUAUAAUUUUUACUUCAAAUAUUUCUUUGAAUUUUUGAAAGUAUCAUUUUUAGACAAAACUCCAAAAGUCGAAUCAAAAUUCAAUGCUUAGUGGCAGUGGGCUACGAUCGAGUUGGUUUUUUGUUUUCGUUUUUCCAUUGACUGUUUGCUCCAACAUGAUUUACUACUCCAUUCUACUGCUCCCACACUCACACACACACACACACACACACACACACACACACACAUAUAGGUGUUUUAUAUUUUCUGUAUGGGAUAAUUUUCGUAGUUCCUAAGGAUAGGAAGAACUAAAGAAUUUAAAUUAAGCCAAUUAAAGUAAUUGAUGUGCAAAUAUCAAAAUAAAAUAAAAUUGACGUGUUCUUAAAAUACUCUUAUUAAACAAGUUUGUUAAUAUUCAACACAUUAAAACAAAACUCGUACCGUACUUUACAUCUAUUACGAACAAAAACAGCUUAUAGGAAAUUGUAUAGACCGUGCAGCCGUGUAGUUAACCACCUUUUUGUUGAUAUAAUACUAUUCGUCUUUUUGAAUAAGUUCAUUCUAUAGUUAGCCAUUCAAUUCUAGAUACAUAUAAUAAUUCAACUUCCAAUGCUUUUAAUAAUUAUAUAUACCAUUUCCAGGGGAGCUAAAUUUGACUCCAAAUUUAAUUUGUAAAACCUAUAAUAUUAACUAGAAUGCAUGUGCGUGCCAUCUAAGUUACACAAUUAAAAACAAGCCUUCUCAUCUUAUUUCACACUUUAAUACAAAUAUAAAAGACAUAUGUAACAUAAACCCUCAAGUCAUCAGUCUAAUUAAUUAGGCCUAUGCUAUAGCGUAAAUAUCCAAAUUAACUAAUAAUUUUUUUUUCUUGCCAACUCAUCGAUCUCUCAAAUAUGGAUGAAGAAUAUCAUCGCCGCCACGAUGUCAACCCACUCUUUGUCGGACUUCUCGGGGUUAUUGCCGGAGCCAUCAUAGUUGCAACAGUCCAUUGCAUGCUACUUGGUUGGUGCAAAGCCGAAGAGAGGCGGCCAGAAAGCCCUGAAAAUCGACGUCCAGGAAAUGUCCAAACCAAUAGUACUAAUCGAGACCAUGGUGCGGCUAGCACUAGUAGCAUGAGCAGCAAUUCGACUGUGCAACUUAUUCCAAUUUUUAAGUACACAAAAGAGUGUAAAGAAGGGGCAUGUGCUAUAUGUCUAGGUGAGUUCAAUGAAAAUGAUGAGCUACGCGUAUUGCCCGAAUGUGCACAUCCUUUUCAUGUGCCGUGUAUUGAUAUGUGGCUAUACUCGCACCCAAACUGCCCGCUUUGUCGUGCUGAUAUCGCGCCUCCUCCGCCAGUCGACCAUGUUGUGGUGUCGUUAGCUGACGAUGCCGGUGCCGACGGCUCAUCACCAGAGAUUUCAGUGGCUAAUCAAUAAUUUUGUAGCAAUGUAUGUAUAUACAUAUAUGAAAGUUUCCAAGUGUAAUGUUUUUAUUUUUGAUGACUUGUUUUUUAUAGCUGAGAAGCUAUGGUGAUCAGCUUAUUGGUUUAUUAUGUUAACAGAGCCCAGGAAGCCUAACUCAUUUAUUUGCAAAACCAAUAUAUUAGUUUCAAUGCCCCUGUGAUUAAUCAUUCAGUCCAAUAUUCAAAGAAUUUUCGAGUCCCAAAUUAAAGAUUUCUACGUUAUAGGGCUUUAUGAUUAAUGUACAAUCAGAAAUAGAUAUGACGUUUUUCAUUCUGAUAAUAGUACAUCAUGUUUCGGCCCAACUUCUUUGUCGUUUGCAAAUAAAGCCUAUCAUUUCGCAGCCACAUUUUAGAGCAUUUAUCUUAAAACUCCCGUACGUCUAUUUGAAAAUAAUAAAAUGGAAAACAGUACUGUUAACGCCUGAUUUUAUACGUCUGACGAAAUUACUAAAAUAGCAGGCUAAAAUAGAGCCAACGGUUAAUGGAGUAAUUGUUGUGAAAUUAAACUCACGAAAUACACUCACAUAAACAUAAAUAAAAAAAUAUAAAGUAUGAACACAAGAAUUUACGUGGAAACCCAAUUGAAAAAAACCCACAGAGGUUUGUGUUGUAUCUCUUGUGCCCUAUCAUGUUCUUCUAUUCUCUUCCUCCCUCUAACCCUAGCUUGUAGCCGUAUAUAUAGAAGUAAUCUCCACCUGCAUCCCACUAGGAGAGGAUUCCUUAUCCCUCCAAAUAAGAAAAUACAAUCCUAUUCUAAUAAGGACUUUUCCACUGUCAUAAUAAAUACAUAUGGGCCAUCACCAGAUCCGGACCAUUAAAUAGAUUGAACUGCACUAUGGCUAGACCCAAAUAAUCACACUCCAACAUUGCCCCCAGUCUCUCAUUUAUAAGCCCAGUCUCUUAUUUAUAAGGAACUUAUAAAUGAGAGACUAUACAAAUUUAUCCCAACAAAACGACCAUAUUUGUCGAAGACAAAAUAUCACACCUGAACUCCAUGUGCCGAACUAAAAUUGUUGGCUCCCAAUAUCGCUGCCCCACUCCUCUUGUUCACUCGUAAGAUAGAUAAAUAAUUUCCCUUAUUACUACCGAAGAUAUAAAGAACCAACCUUAUACCAACCGAACCAACCUUAUCACUACUGAAGAUAUAAAGAACCAACCUUAUCACAACCGAAGAUAUAAAGAACUAACCUUAUCACAACCGAAUUUAUAGAGAACCAACCUUAUCACAACCGAACCAACCUUAUUACAACUGAAGAUAUAAAGAACUAACCUUAUCACAACCGAAUAUAUAUAGAGAACCAACCUUAUCACAACCGAACCAACCUUAUCACAGCCGAAUAUAUAUAGAGAACCAACCUUAUCACAACCGAACCAACCUUAUCACUACCGAAGAUAUAAAGAACCAACCUUAUCACAACCGAAGAUAUAAAAAACCAACCUUAUCACAACCGAAUAUAUAUAGAGAACCAACCUUAUCACAACCGAAUAUAUAGAGAGAACCAACCUUAUCACAACCGAGAUAUAAAGAACCAACCUUAUCACAACCGAAUAUAUAGAAAACCAACUUUAUCACAACCGAACCAUCCAACCUAACACCAAUUAUAAAGUUCGUACCGAAGAACUAAACGUAUCCGUUUUAAAGAACCGUAAAAAUGUUUAUUUCGACCGUUUGGGAGGACGUUGGUCCGUCCCGAAGGAUAUUGUCCGAUCGAGAUGAUGAUGGUCCGUACCGAAAGAAGUUAUCCGUUCGGGAGGACGUUGGUCCGUUCCGAAGGAAGUUAUCCGUUCGAGAGGACGUCGGUCCGUCCCGAAGGAAGUAAUCCGUUCGGGAGGACGAUGGUCCGUCCCAAAGGAUGUUUGACCGUUCGGGAGGACGUUAGUCCGUCCCGAAGGAUGUGAUCCGUUCGGGAUGACGAUGGUCCGUCCCGAAGGAAGUUAUCCGUUUGGGAGGACGUUGGUCCGUCCCGAAGGAUCCAACCUUAUUACGCCAUCCAACCUUAUACCGUCAAAAUAGUCGUCCCGACCCCAGUGGGAGGCUUCCUUUCGGGAGAACUAAGCCUUCCCGAAGGAUCCAACCUUAUUAAGCCAUCCAACCUUAUACUGCCUAAAUAGCCGUUUCGACCCUAGUGGGAGGCUUUAUAUUUCCAAAUGUAGAUAGCCAAAGACAUGAUGAAGCCGAUGUGAUAUAUUUCGAAGCAAACUGCCAUUAUCCGAAGAGGGUUGUUGUUGCCCGAAGUAGAUUGUUGUUACCCAAAAUGACUUGAGUGAACAUCUCGAACUAUCAAAACUCAUACAAGGCUUGUAUAUCCUUUGUCAAAAAUAUUUUCUCCUCCGACAACAGUUGGCCUGCCGAAGAUGAUGGAUGACUACCAACAGGAACGCCGAACAUAUUAUGAUGAUGUGUUCGACGAGAAAUUGAAUACUGAGGAUGAUUGAAUCCACGCCAAACUCUUUUGUCCAUGCUAAUGCGCUAAAAAAAAAGCUCCAUUUAUGAUAGGGUGUUGGUAUUAAAUUUGAAUGGUGAGACAAUCUCCCCAUUGACAGAAGCAUGAGGCCGAAGAUUUGUAUUAUUGAUUGGCUUCGGGAAGUAAAAAUUCCAACGUUAUAAUCGAAGAUGAAGUUGUAUUUCUUGUGUCGGAGGCCAGCCAUGUGUCCACCAUGAGAUUCGGAAAAACAAUAUGAUAAACAUAAUUAUAUUUUAUCCAUGAGAACUACCAAUGAAGGCAACAUGUAGUAUGAGGUCCAUCCUUUUACCAAGCCAGGUUGAACAAUUUGUUGAUUAGUCUUCAUGCAUCUAAAAUAUUUACCGCAUGCAUAAUCAAUGAAGUAUAAUAUUUAAAUUGAAAAAAAAGGUGAGGGACUUAGCUUUGAAUUUCCAGAGGACUGUGCUCGGGGUAUUCUCAUGAUUUUUGAAGGUUUUAUUCGGUGAUUUUAUUUUGACAAUAAAUUUUCGUUCCCACAGACAGCGCCAAUGUUAACGCCUGAUUUUGUACGCCUGACGAAAUCACCAAAAUAGCGCCAACGGUUGAUGGAGUAAUUGUUGUAAAAUUAAACUCACGAAAUACACUCACAUAAACAUAAAUAAAGAAAUAUAAAGUAUGAACACAAGAAUUUACGUGGAAAUCCAAUUGGGGAAAAACCACGGAGGGAGAGUAAUCUACUAUAAUAAUAUUGUGAGUACAAGUUGUGUAUUUGUGUUGUAUCUCUUGUGCCCUAUCAUGUUGUCUUCUAUUCUCUUCCUCCCUCUAACCCUAGCUUGUAGCCGUAUAUAUAGAAGUAAUCUCCACUUGCAUCCCACUAGGAGAAGGAUUCCUUAUCCCUCCAAAUAAGGAAAUACAAUCCUAUUUUAAUAAGGACUCUUCCACUGUCAUAAUAAAUACAUAUGGGUCAUCACCAAAUUCGGACCAUUAAAUAGAUUGGGCUGCACUAUAGCUAGACCCAAAUAAUCACACUCCAACAAGUACAAUUACCAAAUCGCCUAGAUCAGAAAAUUAUUCCUAUUCAUUGACUUUUAAUAUUAGUUAGCACACCUAACUAUUUAUACAUUUGUUUUCCGGUUUAAAAACUUAGAUUUUAUUAUAUAAAUUUUAAUUAUAGUUAUAUUUUAUACCAAUAAAACUUAAUUUCGAUAAAUAAAAAAAAUGACUUCCCUAAUUACAUUUACCAUCUAUUUUUAUACAAAAUUUUUAUAGGCUGGAUAUUGAAUAAAAGGGUAUAAGAUUUAUAAAAUUUCAUCUAUAUAAAAAUAAAAUCAGUCCUACAUGCUAGACAGUGUACUACACAGUGUGUACACAGUUGUGUACUACACAAUCCUCUAUGACGAUAAUUUUUUAAGCUAUGACGACGGUUCAACCGUCAUUAUAGAUAUUCUGGUCUAUGACGACGGUUGACGACUAUAGCUAAAAAAAAUCGCCGCCAUUGUACGAUUACCAUCGCUAUAGCUCAAAAAACUGUCAUCAUAGCACGACUAUAUACUACACAAAUGUGUAUAUACAUAUAGCUCAUAUAUAUAUAUAUAUAUAUAUAUUUAUAUAUAUAUAUAUAUAUAUAUGAAAAAGAUCCAUAUUAACAUCUAUUUGUAAUGGAUCAAAAAGUGGCAUAUAGCAUCUUAACAUUCUAUUAGAACUAUAAAUGGCCCAGAGCCGUCCGCUAGUAAUUCUAGCAGAAUGAUUUUAAACAAUUUUAGGUCGAUUAUGCCCCUAAUUAGCCGAGGUAAAAAUAAAACAUCAUGUCCCCUAGAAAUUCUGACGGACACAUAUUACAUAUGAAAACAACUUUAAUCGACUGUGAAAAGGUAACAAACUCAGUUAGCCCACUGCUUUAUUUCCCAAACGUAAACAUUAUUCUUUUCUAGCGUUCUUCUUUUCCUAUAAAUAUCAGUUUUGUUCUGCAGAGAAGGGACUUCGAAUCUGUUCUUUCCCACUACACGCUCCUCUACCUUGUGCCGCCCAACGGAGUCUGUCUGGCAGUUCUCCAAUUGCUUUGUCCUCAAAAUCUACCCGAUGGGUAAGUUCAAAGGUCUUUUCGAACGGGGUUGUUGUUAGCCGUGGGUAGUUUGAUGUACUGGUUUUGGGUGCUGGGUGGUGAUGGAAUCCUUCUUCUGCUCGCCGGGAUUUAAGGCUCCAUCCGAAUUAAGGAGAAGCCACAGUCUAAGAAACCAAGGUAUAAUGUAAUAAUGUACACAGAGUCAACACCUCUACCAAUAAGGAAUCAAGUAAAGUAAUCGACAUAGACAAGUCCAAAGCCUCCUUCUGUGAGUACACACGAUCAGAGAAUUCGCCGUUGAAUCCUAGAGAGUGACUGUCGGUAGCCCAUUUGUACUUGUGAUUGCUAUCAGUGGGGGUAAAAUUACUUUUUAGGACAGUAGCUUUGCUACGCCUCGGUUUCCAACUAAGUUGUUCCAAUUUACUGUAUUAUUCGUCUUGUUAAUUCUGCUCUAUUUUCCAACAGUUAUAUGCCAAUUUUUGAUACAUAGCAAAUAGAUGAUAUGGAUUAUUGCCCAUAUAUAUAUAUAUAUAUAUAUAUAUAUAUCAAGUGAAUACCCAUUUAUUUAACAUACUUUGCUCACCACUUUUAGCGACGGAACGAGUGCUGGUUCAGUCCAUCACGUAUAUCAGAGAUCCGUCGUCUUACCUUUAUCGACGCACCAAACCGUCGUCAUAACAUAUAAACCGUUUAUCUGUUCUAUAGUGACGGACCAAACCAUCGUUUGAUCCGUUGCUAAAGGUGAUAAGCAGAAUAUAUAAAAUAAAAGGUAUACACUAUAAACAGAUUAUAUAUAUAUACUAGUUGUGUCCCGUGCCUCCGGCACUAUGAACGGUGAAAUUUAUCCCAAACUUUAAACGGUCCAAAUAAUUUAUUAGAAUGAACGAAAAAUUCAAAAUCAUUUGUAUUUUGUUAUAUAUAUAUAUAUAUACACCGCUUUUUCAAGGGAUUGGCUCCAACGACAGUAUCCAUCGCUAUAGAUAUACAGUAGCUAUUUGACGUUACAUAAUUUGUCUUCUAACUUGGAAACUAGCUCAAGUACUUUUUAUUCACUUAUUUUGGGAGAAACAAUUAUUAUUAUUAUUAUUAUUAUUAUUAUUAUUUAUUUUUGCUAAAUAAACAAUUAUUAUUCUCCACAUAAAUUCAAACAUAGACUCUAACUACAAUAUUCAUUAUGAGAAUCCAUUUCAUGUUUCUCAUUAGGCGGCUGAUGAAUUAACACACUAAAAGUUUAAUUCUAUCCUUUUACAUGGCCGCCACCUCCACCACAAUCCCGACCACACCCACCACCAAUCUCAGCUCAACUCUCCCAUCUCCGGCAGGCAAUUCGGGUGGCUCCGACUCGACCGCUCUCACGGCAAUUCUCUCUUUCUUAGCACUCAUCUGCAUACCCAUCUUGAUUUACGCUUUCUUCUUCGCUAUAAGAUGUCCUCCCAACCCUUUCGAGUGGAGACGCCGGAGGGCCGGCAGACUCGCCGGCGAGUUGGCCGACAAAACUGGACAUGUAGAGUUGGUAUAUAGUGUUGUUGAGUACAAGAAGGAGACAAAUGAAACAAAUCACGGCGCCGGUGAGUGUUCGGUGUGUUUAUCAAUGUAUACGGACGGGGAGGAGGUGCGGCAGCUCAAGGUGUGCAAACACAUGUUUCACGUUGCAUGUAUUGAUAUGUGGCUCUCUUCACACUCCAGUUGUCCCGUUUGUCGCUCUUCUAUCGGCGGCGUCAAACGGUCCAACCGACUGGUCAUAGACGGCGACGAUGAUCUUCGGCAAGGUUUGCCGGAUUCUGCCUCUUUGGUCUGAAUAUUGUUUUUUGAUUCUAUUUUUCUUUUUCUUUUUCCCUACUUUGGGAACAAUUUAUGCCCCUUUUUCUAAUGAGCAAGUAGUGAAUGCAAAUUUAGAAGAUCAUUACAUAACCCUCUUUUAAUGUUCCAAAAAAUUAAAUUAUCCGUCCUAUGUUAUUGUUUGUUUUGGUUGUAUUUUAAAAAAAAAGAAAGCAUAAGUAUAUAGAUGUACAAAUAAAAUGAAAUAAUGUUUUGAGUCUACAAGAAAUUAAAUUAUACCCUUCCUGCUGACUCUGGUGAUUUUUCUUGAGUUCCAUUCUUUUGUUCUUUUCUAUAUAUCGAUCCUAACGUAAUUGUAAAGGAGCUACAUCGUUUUCUAUUCUAUGGGACAAAAUGAAAAUUUAAUAAUGGUAAAAAAAUUCCCAGUGGUUUGAAUUUGAUCCUUGAUUUGGUGACCUGCAGCCUGCCUAAUAUUAUUUGUUACUUGCUUGAUUGAGACUUUGAUCCAAGAAAAUAAGAUUUAUUUGAGCAAGUGAUAUUAUCAUCAACACCUUUUGAGACUUCAACCGUGUCUCUAUUCCUAUUCCUAUAUUUGAUGAAAUUAAAAGUAAAAUUCUUGUUACUCCAAUUCCAAUGGAGGCAGAUGUUCGUAGUUUAAUUGAGAAACAUGAAACAUCAAUACUAAAUUUACCCAUGAUAAUUUGUUAGAAUUUAAGAUUAAAUUAAAGUGAGGUUCAUUAAUCAUUUAAGCGAAAUUCACAUAUCAAUGUGUUCUAUUCCACGAGUAAAUUAAAAUUAAGUAUUAAAAAAUUCAAAUUCAUGGAGUAAUGAAUGAUAAAUUUACUCUCAAAAAUCACCCUUGAAAAUGUUAAUAAAUAUUUGUGGGAAACUAAAGUCCCACAUCGAUUAAGGACAAAAACAAUUGAGUAUAUAUACAAUUAGAUUUAGCCCCGUCUACAUAAUUAGAUUUACUCUCUAAUUGUAUAUAUACUCAAUUGUUUUUGUCCUUAAUCAAUAUACUAAGCAUCGGCUAGUAAAUCUAUCGGACGGAAAUAAAACCAAGCUUCAAAUCCUGUGAGUCUUGCAAACAGUGAUACACAUUACAACAAGAAUCCAAGUCACACAAGGAGCAAUGGCCAAUGAGUGAUAUUUUUGUAAAUAAAAGGAAAGCAAGUGAAACUACUCUAUUUUAAUAUUAUUUUGUAUUUUAAAAUAAUCUCUAAAACGACGUAGUUUUACUAAAAGAGUACUAUUUAAGAAGAUUAUUUUAGAUUCAUUCCGAAUUAAAAUCAAUUUUGGUCGGAACUGCCCCCACUCAGGCCAAAACAAUGCAGGAAUGAUGGAAUUUUUAAUCUGUUCGCUAGCUAACCAAGAAGUAAACUCAAAUCCAAGUCAGAGAAGGACACACAAUUUAUAAAUCCAAUUCACAACCAAGUUUUGUAAACUCAAAUCCAACCCAAGUGAGUAAUCUAAUCAAGUUCUGUAAACUCAAAUCCAAUCAAUGUCAGAUGCUUGUUAGACAUUCUAAAAAUCAUCUCUUGCAAUGCAAACAACAAAUAAUAGAAUAAUUUAAUUAGAAAGAAGAAAGACAUACCACAGACCACCAAAAGGAACAGGAGAAAGUGAAAAAUACAAGUCCUUUGCCCCCAAUCUCUAGAAAUAGCUACCUGGAUCUUCAAUCGUCAAAACCCACAGUGAAGUAAAAAGAAAAGAUAUCAUAAUUCCUAUCCUAGCAACCAAAUCUUCCACGCGUUCGCUACUAACGAUUCCAAUUGAAUUGUUUUGGUUGCUCUUAAUCGUUGAUGGAGUUGAGGAAUAACUAAGGAUUCCAAUUGAAGGGUUUUGGCAGAGGAUUGAAUGAUGAAAUUGAGGAAUCGCCUAUGAUAUUAACAACAUAUAUUUUCUGGUUCUCUACAUAUUUGUUUGCCAAUUCAUUACAGAAAAGUAGUACCGCUGUUUGCUCCACCGAUCUCCUCUUUAACUAUGGUUGUUGAUUUGUCCUUUUACAGUCCACGACAUCGAUCAAGAUUUGAAUUGAUUAGAGAAAGAUGAGUCUCAAUGUAAAAGUUUGAUGAGUUCAUGGAUGAAAGCCACGUUUCAAUUUUUAUGCUACCCAUU
Molecule: long non-coding RNA, 11422 nt
Filed under: Panax ginseng (ginseng)
Lineage: Eukaryota; Viridiplantae; Streptophyta; Magnoliopsida; Apiales; Araliaceae
Description: long non-coding RNA (PGIN_LNC013606)
Source: RNAcentral